Long non-coding RNA from Quercus lobata, 1177 nucleotides. RefSeq lists it as uncharacterized. The record is from RefSeq and is a predicted model, not a curated record. The transcript has 7 exons. Lineage: Eukaryota; Viridiplantae; Streptophyta; Magnoliopsida; Fagales; Fagaceae.
AACCCAACUCUACCCACAAACCUGACUCAGAAUCCUUUCUCUCCAUUUCUCUACCCUUCUCCCUAAAACCCAACUCUGAAAAUCAAUCCCAAAUGCCAUUUUCUUCUCCUCUCUCUUCUCUAAAACCUUUCCCUAAAACCUUCUCUUCUCGCCUCCCUUGGAAACCAAAUUUAAUCAUCAAUCUGUAUCUACAAUAUUCCUUCCCAACGCAAACCCUAUACCUAAGGCAGCCAACGUGCUAGGCCUAUGCAGGAGUUUUCUUGGCCUCCACUCUCAACCUCUUUUCUCCAUGGACGGAUUCAGCCACAGAGCCGAUUAGGAUAAAUAAUUCCCCCUCUGUCAUUCUCUUUCCUAUUUGAUUGAUCUGCUUCUCAAGAAAUUCUUUCUCUAUAUAUGAAUUUCUCUAAAUCUUAUUUUUUGAGUUUCGGUUUCAGGUAAUGAUGAUGAUGCAAAUUACUCAAUCCCAACGCCAAGUGAAUCCUAGCAGAGGUGUGGUUGCCAUUUCAGUUGUCAUCGUUGGCAUCACCAGGUGGUUGCUGAGGAGCUUUUGUAUACAGAGAACUGAUUGUGUGCGAAGGGGGAAUUACUCAUUAAGAUUGUGCAGGCCAUAAGGGUACAAUUAGACCCGGUGAUGUGCAAGUAAGACAUAUCAGUUGCUAAAGAAUCGGGAUCCUUUUCUGAUGUUGGACUAUUUUUCAUGUUUUGAGACUAUCACAUACAUGUUGCAGGAGGCAUUACUAAUUAAGAUUGUGCAAGCCAUAAGUGUCCAAUUGGACUCGAUGAUGUGCAAUGGAUGAGGACAGGUAGAGGAAUCAUCCAACCCUAAAAUGCCUGCAAGAAGAAAAAAUCAAAAGGAUUACAGCUUUGGGUCAAUUUAUCCUCCAAGGACAAAAUGUCAGAAUUCUUCUUUUUGUUGAAGGGGAUCUUAAAAGUAGAAGUUCUCAAAUCAAUGAUUCCAUCAAAAGUUCAUUCUCUUGGGCAUAUAAGUUGCACUUUUGGGAGAUCUAGGGUACCAUGGAAAAGAAAGAACACUGACAGGGGCUUGAAAACAACUUUAUGUUGCUCUUUGGGACCAUGAUUUAACUUUGCCUUUAGGUUAAAAAUGAGAUUACGUCAUACAAAGAUACAAUUGUACACAGUAAUGAGGAUUUCCAACCAUGAGAAGUGGAAGCAUAUA